Neoarius graeffei (lesser salmon catfish) is the source of this 1433-nucleotide RNA transcript. It is a transcript of the gene named transmembrane protein 14Ca, with no coding region annotated. The transcript has 6 exons. Lineage: Eukaryota; Metazoa; Chordata; Actinopteri; Siluriformes; Ariidae. The record is from RefSeq and is a predicted model, not a curated record.
UGCCACCUCACACCGGAAAUAUUCUGAAGGAAAGUUCAUUAGUUGGUCCUGUAUUGACUCCGAGCUAGUUAGACUGACCUUUGCGCUGAUGAUGCCAGUGGACUGGGCUGGAUAUGGCUAUGCAGCCCUCAUUGCUUCUGGAGGAGUCAUGGGUUAUGUCAAAGCAGGCAGUGUCCCUUCUUUGACAGCUGGACUGUUAUUUGGAGGUCUGGCUGGUUUUGGUGCCUACCAGAUAUCACAAAACCCCCAAAACAUUUGGGUGUCUUUAGCUACAUCAGGAACCUUGGCUGUUCUCAUGGGGAAAAGAUUUUACAACUCCCGGAAGAUAAUGCCUGCGGGUAUAGUGGCUGGAGCAAGUAUCCUGAUGUUGGCAAAGCUUGGUAUUGGAGUCCUGCAGAAGCCUCAAGAUUCAUGACUGGUGCUGCAAUGUCACUGAUAAAUCAUUUUUAAAUUUACAACCCCAUUUCCAAAAACGUUGGGAUGCAGUGUGGAAUGACACUGAAGGAGACCACAUCCAGAGAGACAUGCAGAAACCAACCAUAGGCAUUUACGUCAUCAAAAAAGAGGGUGGAGAAAAUGGACAUUAUGAUGACGUUGGAGGUGCAGCCCGAGCUUGUGCAUUGAUGCUUGGCGUAAUCUAUGCACUGAACUACUGUAGGCCUACCCCAAGGAGCUAUUACAAAUUAAUUCAAAAAGUACUCCAGUGAAUGGAUGGGGAAAAGGCUUUCUCCUAGAGUCCUUGGACUACAGAAUAAAAUCAGUGUUGAAGUGUAGGAAUUCUUCAGCCACACUUGUAAACACAGUUGUACUGUUUAUUGAUUGUGAUAUCAAAUGCAGCUUUAGGAGGUGCUGCAAUAUUAACCGUUUAUUGAAAUGUAUUAUUACAAGAAUGAUUAUAGUUACUACAUGACUACAGCUACAACUGGAAUGUACUGAUUCUGUUAGCAGUUGUAAUUAUUGUGCCAUCCACUAUCAGAUAAAAUUAAAAUAAAAUCUUACAAUAUCGUUUGAAAGCCUAGAGAAAGAUAUUUAGUUAUUUUACAAAUAACACUUCAGAUAUUGUUUUAACAAUAAUAAGCAUCACUGUAUAAAUGAUAGAGUGCAGAUAGCUGUGUCCUUGGGGUUGUUGAGACAUGGAGGGGUGGGAAUAAGAUCUAGCCCACAGUUCAAGUCAAAGCCGUUUUGAGAGUAAAUGCUUUGGCUUUAACAGCAUUCUGUUCCCAAAAGCUGAUGUCGGGAAAAAGUCUUUACACAAAGGUUUUCUUGCUCUGUAGUUUUUUUUAAACUGUUCUUCCGUGUCGGGACUUUUCGGGAAAAAGAAGGUAUAUUCCAACAUGUAGCUAACGCUAUGCCACAAAUCUGCACCGUCACUCCAGUCAUUUCGAGGAAUUUUGUACGGAUCAUAACCGCUAAUAAACUCUAAUUUCCAUGUA